This 253-nucleotide ribosomal RNA is filed under the name uncultured bacterium. Its description in RNAcentral is "partial 16S ribosomal RNA". It matches the Rfam family "Bacterial small subunit ribosomal RNA", at positions 524 to 776 of the family's 1533-position model. The record is from RNAcentral.
UACGAAGGGGGCUAGCGUUGCUCGGAAUCACUGGGCGUAAAGCGCACGUAGGCGGAUUGUUAAGUCGGGGGUGAAAUCCUGGAGCUCAACUCCAGAACUGCCUUUGAUACUGGCAAUCUCGAGUCCGGGAGAGGUGAGUGGAACUGCGAGUGUAGAGGUGAAAUUCGUAGAUAUUCGCAAGAACACCAGUGGCGAAGGCGGCUCACUGGCCCGGUACUGACGCUGAGGUGCGAAAGCGUGGGGAGCAAACAGG